AUUGAACGCUGGCGGAAUGCUUUACACAUGCAAGUCGAACGGCAGCACGGACUUCGGUCUGGUGGCGAGUGGCGAACGGGUGAGUAAUGUAUCGGAACGUGCCCAGUCGUGGGGGAUAACGUAGUGAAAAUUACGCUAAUACCGCAUACGAUCUAUGGAUGAAAGCGGGGGAUCGCAAGACGUCGCGCGAUUGGCGCGGCCGAUAUCAGAUUAGGUAGUUGGUGGGGUAAAGGCCCACCAAGCCAACGAUCUGUAGCUGGUCUGAGAGGACGACCAGCCACACUGGAACUGAGACACGGUCCAGACUCCUACGGGAGGCAGCAGUGGGGAAUUUUGGACAAUGGGCGAAAGCCUGAUCCAGCCAUUCCGCGUGCAGGAUGAAGGCCCUCGGGUUGUAGACUGCUUUUGUACAGAACGAAAAGGUUUCUACUAAUACUAGGAGCUCAUGACGGUACUGUAAGAAUAAGCACCGGCUAACUACGUGCCAGCAGCCGCCGUAA
RNAcentral lists this ribosomal RNA (500 nucleotides) under uncultured bacterium. Its description in RNAcentral is "partial 16S ribosomal RNA". It matches the Rfam family "Bacterial small subunit ribosomal RNA", at positions 30 to 523 of the family's 1533-position model. The record is from RNAcentral.